AUCGCUUCUCGGCCUUUUGGCUAAGAUCAAGUGUAGUAUCAUAAUCAAGGCGCACUAAUCGUUUAUUGAUUUAUGUGUAGGGCUGUACACGAACGUGAAGCCAUGAUCCCUA
This 112-nucleotide small nuclear RNA is filed under the name Canis lupus familiaris (dog). RNAcentral's name for it is "U2 spliceosomal RNA (ENSCAFG00030021278.1, ENSCAFG00805026110.1)". It matches the Rfam family "U2 spliceosomal RNA". Rfam says of the family: U2 is a small nuclear RNA (snRNA) component of the spliceosome (involved in pre-mRNA splicing). Lineage: Eukaryota; Metazoa; Chordata; Mammalia; Carnivora; Canidae. RNAcentral also lists the same sequence under 1 other name. The record is from RNAcentral.